Molecule: ribosomal RNA, 501 nt
Filed under: uncultured bacterium
Lineage: Bacteria
Description: bacterial SSU rRNA
Rfam family: Bacterial small subunit ribosomal RNA
Source: RNAcentral
GAUGAACGCUAGCGGCAGGCCUAAUACAUGCAAGACGAACGGUAAGUUUGAUAGCAAUAUUGAACCUAGAGUGUCGUAAGGGUGCGUAACACGUAUGCAAUCUACCCUCAACAGGAGGAUAGCUCCCCGAAAGGGGAAUUAACACUCCAUAAGAUCACAGGAUGGCAUCAUUCAGUGAUUAAAACUCCGGUGGUUGAGGAUGAGCAUGCGCAUGAUUAGUUAGUUGGCGGGGUAAUGGCCCACCAAGACGAUGAUCAUUAGGGGAACUGAGAGGUUGAUCCCCCACACUGGCACUGAGAUACGGGCCAGACUCCUACGGGAGGCAGCAGUAGGGAAUAUUGGACAAUGGGUGCGAGCCUGAUCCAGCCAUGCCGCGUGCAGGAAGACGGCCUCUGGUUGUAACUAGCUUUGUCCUAGGGAGUAAAAAGAACCAACUAGCGUGGUCGAAUUAGUAAGGUAACCGUACGGUGGAAUAAGACCACGGACGUAACUAACGUACCG